Molecule: ribosomal RNA, 253 nt
Filed under: uncultured bacterium
Lineage: Bacteria
Description: partial 16S ribosomal RNA
Rfam family: Bacterial small subunit ribosomal RNA
Source: RNAcentral
UACAGAGGUGGCAAGCGUUGUCCGGAAUUAUUGGGCGUAAAGGGCUCGUAGGCGGUCUGUUGCGUCGGGAGUGAAAACUUACAGCUUAACUGUGAGCGUGCUUUCGAUACGGGCAGACUUGAGGCAUUCAGGGGAGAACGGAAUUCCUGGUGUAGCGGUGAAAUGCGCAGAUAUCAGGAAGAACACCCGUGGCUAAGGCGGUUCUCUAGUACGGUACUGACGCUGAGACGCGAAAGCGUGGGGAGCGAACAGG